UGAGUUGAGCAUGCCAAGGUAGUAAUGGU
RNAcentral lists this non-coding RNA (29 nucleotides) under Mus musculus (house mouse). The record is from RNAcentral. Lineage: Eukaryota; Metazoa; Chordata; Mammalia; Rodentia; Muridae.